Molecule: ribosomal RNA, 1183 nt
Filed under: Empoasca sp. phytoplasma
Lineage: Bacteria; Bacillati; Mycoplasmatota; Mollicutes; Acholeplasmatales; Acholeplasmataceae
Description: bacterial SSU rRNA
Rfam family: Bacterial small subunit ribosomal RNA
Source: RNAcentral
GACAAGAAGGCAUUUUCUUGUUUUUAAAAGACCUACCAAUAGGUAUGCUUAGGGAGGAGCUUGCGUCACAUUAGUUAGUUGGGGGGGUAAAGGCCUACCAAGACUAUGAUGUGUAGCCGGGCUGAGAGGUUGAACGGCCACAUUGGGACUGAGACACGGCCCAAAUUCCUACGGGAGGCAGCAGUAGGGAAUUUUCGGCAAUGGAGGAAACUCUGACCGAGCAACGCCGCGUGAACGAUGAAGUAUUUCGGUACGUAAAGUUCUUUUAUUAGGGAAGAAUAAAUGAUGGAAAAAUCAUUCUGACGGUACCUAAUGAAUAAGCCCCGGCUAACUAUGUGCCAGCAGCCGCGGUAAUACAUAGGGGGCAAGCGUUAUCCGGAAUUAUUGGGCGUAAAGGGUGCGUAGGCGGUUAAAUAAGUUUAUGGUCUAAGUGCAAUGCUCAACAUUGUGAUGCUAUAAAAACUGUUUAGCUAGAGUAAGAUAGAGGCAAGUGGAAUUCCAUGUGUAGUGGUAAAAUGCGUAAAUAUAUGGAGGAACACCAGUAGCGAAGGCGGCUUGCUGGGUCUUUACUGACGCUGAGGCACGAAAGCGUGGGGAGCAAACAGGAUUAGAUACCCUGGUAGUCCACGCCGUAAACGAUGAGUACUAAACGUUGGGUAAAACCAGUGUUGAAGUUAACACAUUAAGUACUCCGCCUGAGUAGUACGUACGCAAGUAUGAAACUUAAAGGAAUUGACGGGACUCCGCACAAGCGGUGGAUCAUGUUGUUUAAUUCGAAGGUACCCGAAAAACCUCACCAGGUCUUGACAUGCUUCUGCAAAGCUGUAGAAACACAGUGGAGGUUAUCAGUUGCACAGGUGGUGCAUGGUUGUCGUCAGCUCGUGUCGUGAGAUGUUGGGUUAAGUCCCGCAACGAGCGCAACCCUUAUUGUUAGUUACCAGCACGUAAUGGUGGGGACUUUAGCAAGACUGCCAGUGAUAAAUUGGAGGAAGGUGGGGACGACGUCAAAUCAUCAUGCCCCUUAUGACCUGGGCUACAAACGUGAUACAAUGGCUGUUACAAAGGGUAGCUGAAGCGCAAGUUUUUGGCGAAUCUCAAAAAAACAGUCUCAGUUCGGAUUGAAGUCUGCAACUCGACUUCAUGAAGUUGGAAUCGCUAGUAAUCGCGAAUCAGCAUGUCGCGG